ACGGGCUUUGGAUGGCAAGCCCCUGUGACAGGUGUCCCAUGCUUUCGUGCAGCGCGGCGUCUUGCGCUGGAGGGCUUUGGGAUUGCUCCUUCACGGGGGCUUUCUCAGGGUUAUCUGCGCGAUUGCGUGUUUUCCCACACCCAGUGAAACCACUGAGUUGUGCCUCGCGGUGCAGCCAAACCAAUCUCUGAAGGACUGAUUGCCACACAUUGGCGGUCACAAACGAAAACAACUCUCAACAACGGAUAUCUUGGCUCUCGCAACGAUGAAGAACGCAGCGAAAUGCGAUACGUAGUGUGAAUUGCAGAAUUCCGUGAACCAUCGAAUCUUUGAACGCAUAUUGCGCUCAAGCCUUCGGGCAAGAGCAUGUCUGCCUCAGCGUCUUUUUAACCCCUCACACCCCUAUCUUUGAUAGAGCCAAGCUCAAGCGGCUUGCUGGUGUGGAUUUGGCUUCCCCAAUUGGCCCAUUUGCUGAUUGGGUUGGCUGAAGUGCAGAGGCUUGAGCAAGGACCCGAUAUGGGCAUCAACUGGAUAGGUAGUGCCAGCCAACCGGCUGUCUACACGAAGUUGUUGCCUGUGGACCUUGCUGGAGGCCAGCAGGAAGCACGCUUUCGGCGUGAUUCAACUUUGGACCUGAGCUCAGGCAAGAUUACGGACUGAACUUAAGCAUAUCAAUAAGCAGGAGGAAA
Molecule: ribosomal RNA, 689 nt
Filed under: Ankistrodesmus sp. 7 (FA)
Lineage: Eukaryota; Viridiplantae; Chlorophyta; Chlorophyceae; Sphaeropleales; Selenastraceae
Description: eukaryotic LSU rRNA
Rfam family: 5.8S ribosomal RNA (bases 231-384)
Source: RNAcentral